GGUCUUCAGUUCUUGGAGUUUAGUUCCCUUUUUUGAUGGGGCUUUUGUGGGUUUCAAUAGGUGGUUUUCCAGGGGCUGUCCUUAUUUGGCUGGCAUUUCAAUGCCGAUCGAGUGAUUGCUGGUCAUAUAUCCCUAUGGGCUACAGAAGAUUGAGAAGCUCAAGCGCUGCACACAUCUUCUUGACUUGACCGAUACAUCCAUGGUUUCUAGCUUUUCUCUUUAUCAACCGCUUGUCCCUGAGCUCGCUGUUUAAUGGGGAGAAUGUAGCGGAAUUUAUCUAGUGGAGCACGUGCAGAUCCUGCUCGGAGCUGAAUGCUUGGUUGAUCUGGCUGAUUGAUAGCUAAGAGGGUUGCAUGCACUUCUAUCCAGCAGUCCUCAUCUUUGGCAAAAAGUGAUUUGCUCGCUAUGUUUGUACUUUUUUAAUAUGUGUUUGCUUGGUUCUGUUUUUAUAGGAUUGAUAUCUCCAGGGGACAUUAUCGAUGCCAUCUAAGAAGCACCUAAUCCCUUAAAUGGCUAUACGAGAUUGAGAGAACUUACGGAGUUCUACCUGCCGCUCGGUGAUCCUUUGAAGAAAGGAUCCUUUCUCGGCUGGAAUUUUUCUCUGUUUUGCAAUUUGAGUCUGUGAUUGAGGUUCACUGGUUUUUCUACUUGGUUCAAGACUCCCAUGGUCAUCAUGUUGCUUAAUGUCUCUGCACUGCUCGUCUAUCCUAUUACUCCAUGGUUGUCAGCAAAAACUCCGUUGUCUUCAGGUGGUUUCAUCAGGUUGAGUUUUCCGAGUAUUAGGAUUUCUAUAAGGGAGACGAACUUUGGAUGGUUCUCUAAGUUUAGGCCCAUGUAAUAAGUUUAUGUGCUUUGUAUUUUUGUAUUCUAUUAUGUAUUGAGCUGAGCAAGCUUUUUUUAUCAAUGAAAAUCUCUAUCUAUUGCAG
Molecule: unclassified non-coding RNA, 926 nt
Filed under: Hevea brasiliensis (rubber tree)
Lineage: Eukaryota; Viridiplantae; Streptophyta; Magnoliopsida; Malpighiales; Euphorbiaceae
Source: RNAcentral